Molecule: microRNA precursor, 207 nt
Organism: Oryza sativa Japonica Group (Japanese rice)
Lineage: Eukaryota; Viridiplantae; Streptophyta; Magnoliopsida; Poales; Poaceae
Rfam family: MIR812 microRNA precursor family
Source: Rfam
UUUAAGUGUAACCAUGAGUUUCCGUAUCCAACUUUUGAUCGUCCGUCUUAUUUAAAACUUUUUUGUAAUUAGUAUUUUUGUUGUUAUUAGAUGAUAAAAUAUGAAUAGUUAUUUAUGCGUGACUUAUGUUUUAAAUUUUUUUUAAAAAAACUUUUAAAUAAGACGAACGAUCAAAAUUAGACACGAAAAAUUAUAACUGCACUUACA